CAUAAACGUCUCCACUCCUUCUCAUCACAGCUUCGAAAAUGCCCUGGCUUCCAUCGCGCAGACCAUUGCAUCGCCGCCUCUGCAGUGCGCCGCGCACGUCACUACUCUCCCGUCGCACCGCCAGCUAAUCUGCGUCACUCGCAUUCACGCUGCUCGCCUGUCACAUCCUCGUCGCUCGCGGCUUGCAUACCCAAGGCCAAGCCCGCAUUUGCACCACCGCAACCUCCAUCUCGUCAAUCCUUUGCGUAGCGCUGGUGCCCUCCGCAACCAAUUUCCAUCGCCACAAGGCGCUCUCUGCUAGCGCUGUUUCCUCCUCCACAGAACCACCGUAGUGCCCUUUCCCUCGUGAUUUGCAUCGCCGCCGAUCCUCGCAGCGCGCUCUCUCUCUCUCGUAUCCACCUUCUCAAUCCUUUCUACUUCCUUUCCGCGAAUCAUAUGUUGGGAGGGGCAACUGAAGCAGAUAGAUCAAGACAUUCUAACCCAUAUGAAGACCCUGCGGUGCCCUCUGAUGCUGAGACUGACCAAAAUAAUAACUAAUUGAUUUGUUUUAAAAUGUUUCUUAAAUCUUUUAUGUCAAAUUUUUUGCUUUUUGCAUAAGUGAUUGUAAAGCUGUCAAUAUUUUGUUGAAAUUAGAUACUGACUAUAAUGUAUAGUGGUGUUGCUUACAAGCCUUUUAUUCAUACAUGAUGUUUGCUCGUGUAUUAUCAACCUCAGAAUAUGACAUAAUACUCUUCUCAAAUUUAAAGUUUAUUGUUAGUUUCA
Molecule: long non-coding RNA, 762 nt
Organism: Arachis duranensis
Lineage: Eukaryota; Viridiplantae; Streptophyta; Magnoliopsida; Fabales; Fabaceae
Exons: 2
Source: RefSeq, a predicted model, not a curated record